GUGCUCGCUUUGGCAGCACAUAUACCCCAAAUUGGAACAAUACAGAGACGAUUAGUACGGCCCCUGCACAACGAUGACACACAAAUUCCUGAAGCAUUCCAUAUUUUU
Molecule: small nuclear RNA, 108 nt
Organism: Perognathus longimembris pacificus (Pacific pocket mouse)
Lineage: Eukaryota; Metazoa; Chordata; Mammalia; Rodentia; Heteromyidae
Source: RefSeq, a predicted model, not a curated record